Molecule: ribosomal RNA, 496 nt
Filed under: uncultured bacterium
Lineage: Bacteria
Description: partial 16S ribosomal RNA
Rfam family: Bacterial small subunit ribosomal RNA
Source: RNAcentral
GAUGAACGCUGGCGGCGUGCCUAAUACAUGCAAGUCGAGCGAACGGACGAGAAGCUUGCUUUUCUGAUGUUAGCGGCGGACGGGUGAGUAACACGUGGAUAACCUACCUAUAAGACUGGGAUAACUUCGGGAAACCGGAGCUAAUACCGGAUAAUAUUUUGAACCGCAUGGUUCAAAAGUGAAAGACGGUCUUGCUGUCACUUAUAGAUGGAUCCGCGCUGCAUUAGCUAGUUGGUAAGGUAACGGCUUACCAAGGCAACGAUGCAUAGCCGACCUGAGAGGGUGAUCGGCCACACUGGAACUGAGACACGGUCCAGACUCCUACGGGAGGCAGCAGUAGGGAAUCUUCCGCAAUGGGCGAAAGCCUGACGGAGCGACGCCGCGUGAGUGAUGAAGGUCUUCGGAUCGUAAAACUCUGUUAUUAGGGAAGAACAUAUGUGUAAGUAACUGUGCACAUCUUGACGGUACCUAAUCAGAAAGCCACGGCUAACUACGU